RNAcentral lists this ribosomal RNA (440 nucleotides) under uncultured bacterium. Its description in RNAcentral is "partial 16S ribosomal RNA". It matches the Rfam family "Bacterial small subunit ribosomal RNA", at positions 338 to 795 of the family's 1533-position model. The record is from RNAcentral.
CCUACGGGGGGCAGCAGUAGGGAAUAUUGCUCAAUGGGGGAAACCCUGAAGCAGCAACGCCGCGUGGAGGAUGAAGGUUUUCGGAUUGUAAACUCCUUUUGUUAGAGAAGAUAAUGACGGUAUCUAACGAAUAAGCACCGGCUAACUCCGUGCCAGCAGCCGCGGUAAUACGGAGGGUGAAAGCGUUACUCGGAAACACGGGGCGUAAAGGGCGCGUAGGCGGGAUAGCAAGUCAGAUGUGAAAUCCUAUGGCUUAACCAUAGAACUGCAUUUGAAACUGUUAUUCUAGAGUAUGGGAGAGGUAGGUGGAAUUCUUGGUGUAGGGGUAAAAUCCGUAGAGAUCAAGAGGAAUACUCAUUGCGAAGGCGACCUGCUAGAACAUAACUGACGCUGAUGCGCGAAAGCGUGGGGAGCAAACAGGAUUAGGUACCCGAGUAGUC